Long non-coding RNA from Thalassophryne amazonica, 138 nucleotides. RefSeq lists it as uncharacterized. The transcript is spliced from 3 exons. Lineage: Eukaryota; Metazoa; Chordata; Actinopteri; Batrachoidiformes; Batrachoididae. The record is from RefSeq and is a predicted model, not a curated record.
ACAUUAUUGCUAUAAAUUAAACAUUCUAAUCCAAUUUACUUUUGUUCCACAAAUCUGAUUGGUUAAUCGUGUGAGAUUUUAGACUAUAAAAUAUCGCCUUGACGCUGGCAAAAUAUUUGACCAUUUAAUAUAAGUAAU